UCUCCACUCUACUCGAUAAUUACCUAAGCUUGUGGAUUAUAAUUCUUUUAUUUUGGAUUCGAUCCCUCUUUUUUUUGUGUAUUAUCGAAAUUUAUGAAUGUUUUUUUUCCGUUAAUUUCCUGUGAAAAUCGCCACUUCUCCGCCGAUGGCGCUUCCUCUCGGCAAGCUAUCGCUCAUCGUUGGUGCAGGCCUCGUGGGAUCUGUUCUUGCCAAGGAGGGCCGGAUAUCUAAUGUUUCUGAUUUUUUCUCUGGUGCAUUUAAGAUAGUUUUCAAGCAACUUAAACAAGAUGUUCCUGCUACUCC
Non-coding RNA from Salvia hispanica, 303 nucleotides. Lineage: Eukaryota; Viridiplantae; Streptophyta; Magnoliopsida; Lamiales; Lamiaceae. The record is from RefSeq and is a predicted model, not a curated record.